Molecule: ribosomal RNA, 2905 nt
Filed under: Salmonella enterica subsp. arizonae
Lineage: Bacteria; Pseudomonadati; Pseudomonadota; Gammaproteobacteria; Enterobacterales; Enterobacteriaceae
Description: 23S ribosomal RNA
Rfam family: Bacterial large subunit ribosomal RNA
Source: RNAcentral
UUAAGCGACCAAGCGUACACGGUGGAUGCCCUGGCAGUCAGAGGCGAUGAAGGACGUGCUAAUCUGCGAUAAGCGCCGGUAAGGUGAUAUGAACCGUUAUAACCGGCGAUGUCCGAAUGGGGAAACCCAGUGUGACUCGUCACACUAUCAUUAACUGAAUCCAUAGGUUAAUGAGGCGAACCGGGGGAACUGAAACAUCUAAGUACCCCGAGGAAAAGAAAUCAACCGAGAUUCCCCCAGUAGCGGCGAGCGAACGGGGAGGAGCCCAGAGCCUGAAUCAGCAUGUGUGUUAGUGGAAGCGUCUGGAAAGGCGCGCGAUACAGGGUGAGAGCCCCGUACACAAAAGCGCACAUGCUGUGAGCUCGAUGAGUAGGGCGGGACACGUGGUAUCCUGUCUGAAUAUGGGGGGACCAUCCUCCAAGGCUAAAUACUCCUGACUGACCGAUAGUGAACCAGUACCGUGAGGGAAAGGCGAAAAGAACCCCGGCGAGGGGAGUGAAACAGAACCUGAAACCGUGUACGUACAAGCAGUGGGAGCCUCUCUUUAUGGGGGGUGACUGCGUACCUUUUGUAUAAUGGGUCAGCGACUUAUAUUCUGUAGCAAGGUUAACCGCAUAGGGGAGCCGAAGGGAAACCGAGUCUUAACCGGGCGUUAAGUUGCAGGGUAUAGACCCGAAACCCGGUGAUCUAGCCAUGGGCAGGUUGAAGGUUGGGUAACACUAACUGGAGGACCGAACCGACUAAUGUUGAAAAAUUAGCGGAUGACCUGUGGCUGGGGGUGAAAGGCCAAUCAAACCGGGAGAUAGCUGGUUCUCCCCGAAAGCUAUUUAGGUAGCGCCUCGUGAAUUCAUCUCCGGGGGUAGAGCACUGUUUCGGCUAGGGGGCCAUCCCGGCUUACCAACCCGAUGCAAACUGCGAAUACCGGAGAAUGUUAUCACGGGAGACACACGGCGGGUGCUAACGUCCGUCGUGAAGAGGGAAACAACCCAGACCGCCAGCUAAGGUCCCAAAGUCAUGGUUAAGUGGGAAACGAUGUGGGAAGGCCCAGACAGCCAGGAUGUUGGCUUAGAAGCAGCCAUCAUUUAAAGAAAGCGUAAUAGCUCACUGGUCGAGUCGGCCUGCGCGGAAGAUGUAACGGGGCUAAACCAUGCACCGAAGCUGCGGCAGCGACACUUUAGUGUUGUUGGGUAGGGGAGCGUUCUGUAAGCCGUUGAAGGUGUCCUGUGAGGGGUGCUGGAGGUAUCAGAAGUGCGAAUGCUGACAUAAGUAACGAUAAAGCGGGUGAAAAGCCCGCUCGCCGGAAGACCAAGGGUUCCUGUCCAACGUUAAUCGGGGCAGGGUGAGUCGACCCCUAAGGCGAGGCCGAAAGGCGUAGUCGAUGGGAAACGGGUUAAUAUUCCCGUACUUGGUGUUACUGCGAAGGGGGGACGGAGAAGGCUAUGUUGGCCGGGCGACGGUUGUCCCGGUUUAAGCGUGUAGGCUGGUUUUCCAGGCAAAUCCGGAAAAUCAAGGCUGAGGCGUGAUGACGAGGCACCACGGUGCUGAAGCAACAAAUGCCCUGCUUCCAGGAAAAGCCUCUAAGCAUCAGGUAACAUCAAAUCGUACCCCAAACCGACACAGGUGGUCAGGUAGAGAAUACCAAGGCGCUUGAGAGAACUCGGGUGAAGGAACUAGGCAAAAUGGUGCCGUAACUUCGGGAGAAGGCACGCUGACACGUAGGUGAAGUGAUUUACUCACGGAGCUGAAGUCAGUCGAAGAUACCAGCUGGCUGCAACUGUUUAUUAAAAACACAGCACUGUGCAAACACGAAAGUGGACGUAUACGGUGUGACGCCUGCCCGGUGCCGGAAGGUUAAUUGAUGGGGUCAGCGCAAGCGAAGCUCCUGAUCGAAGCCCCGGUAAACGGCGGCCGUAACUAUAACGGUCCUAAGGUAGCGAAAUUCCUUGUCGGGUAAGUUCCGACCUGCACGAAUGGCGUAAUGAUGGCCAGGCUGUCUCCACCCGAGACUCAGUGAAAUUGAACUCGCUGUGAAGAUGCAGUGUACCCGCGGCAAGACGGAAAGACCCCGUGAACCUUUACUAUAGCUUGACACUGAACAUUGAGCCUUGAUGUGUAGGAUAGGUGGGAGGCUUUGAAGCGUGGACGCCAGUCUGCGUGGAGCCGACCUUGAAAUACCACCCUUUAAUGUUUGAUGUUCUAACGUGGACCCGUAAUCCGGGUUGCGGACAGUGUCUGGUGGGUAGUUUGACUGGGGCGGUCUCCUCCUAAAGAGUAACGGAGGAGCACGAAGGUUGGCUAAUCCUGGUCGGACAUCAGGAGGUUAGUGCAAUGGCAUAAGCCAGCUUGACUGCGAGCGUGACGGCGCGAGCAGGUGCGAAAGCAGGUCAUAGUGAUCCGGUGGUUCUGAAUGGAAGGGCCAUCGCUCAACGGAUAAAAGGUACUCCGGGGAUAACAGGCUGAUACCGCCCAAGAGUUCAUAUCGACGGCGGUGUUUGGCACCUCGAUGUCGGCUCAUCACAUCCUGGGGCUGAAGUAGGUCCCAAGGGUAUGGCUGUUCGCCAUUUAAAGUGGUACGCGAGCUGGGUUUAGAACGUCGUGAGACAGUUCGGUCCCUAUCUGCCGUGGGCGCUGGAAGACUGAGGGGGGCUGCUCCUAGUACGAGAGGACCGGAGUGGACGCAUCACUGGUGUUCGGGUUGUCAUGCCAAUGGCACUGCCCGGUAGCUAAAUGCGGAAAAGAUAAGUGCUGAAAGCAUCUAAGCACGAAACUUGCCCCGAGAUGAGUCUUCCCUGAGACUUUGAGUCUCCUGAAGGAACGUUAAAGACGAUGACGUUGAUAGGCCGGGUGUGUAAGCGCAGCGAUGCGUUGAGCUAACCGGUACUAAUGAACCGUGAGGCUUAACCUU